GGAUGAAGAACGUAGCGAAAUGCGAUAAGUAGUGUGAAUUGCAGAAUUCAGUGAAUCAUCGAAUCUUUGAACGCACAUUGCGCCCCUUGGUAUUCCGAGGGGCAUGCCUGUUCGAGCGUCAUUUGUACCUCAAGCUCUGCUUGGUGUUGGGUGUUUGUCUAGCCUCUGCGGCUAGACUCGCCUUGAAUCUAUUGGCAGCUAGAGUAUUGGCUUUGGAGCGCAGCACAUUUUGCGUCCCUGGCUGAUACUAUAGCACCCAUGAAGCUACCAUCACGUUUGACCUCGGAUCAGGUAGGGAUACCCGCUGAACUUAAGCAUAUCAAUAAGCGGAGGA
RNAcentral lists this unclassified non-coding RNA (334 nucleotides) under soil metagenome. Its description in RNAcentral is "partial contains 5.8S ribosomal RNA, internal transcribed spacer 2, and large subunit ribosomal RNA". The stretch from base 2 to 121 matches the Rfam family "5.8S ribosomal RNA", at positions 35 to 154 of the family's 154-position model. The record is from RNAcentral.